GUGGGAGGGGGCUUGCCCCCGAUGGCGGUGUAUCAGUCAGCACAUUUGUGGCUGACAAGCCAUCAUCGGGGGCAAGCCCCCUCCCAC
This 87-nucleotide unclassified non-coding RNA is filed under the name Pseudomonas azotoformans. Lineage: Bacteria; Pseudomonadati; Pseudomonadota; Gammaproteobacteria; Pseudomonadales; Pseudomonadaceae. The record is from RNAcentral.